Molecule: ribosomal RNA, 468 nt
Filed under: uncultured bacterium
Lineage: Bacteria
Description: partial 16S ribosomal RNA
Rfam family: Bacterial small subunit ribosomal RNA
Source: RNAcentral
GACGAACGCUGGCGGCGUGCUUAACACAUGCAAGUCGAACGGUGAUGCUCCAGCUUGCUGGAGUGGAUCAGUGGCGAACGGGUGAGUAACACGUGAGCAACCUGCCCCAGACUCUGGAAUAAGCGCUUGAAACGGCGUCUAAUACUGGAUACGAAACUGGCCCGCAUGGGCAUGGUUUGGAAAGUUUUUCGGUUUGGGAUGGGCUCGCGGCCUAUCAGCUUGUUGGUGAGGUAAUGGCUCACCAAGGCGACGACGGGUAGCCGGCCUGAGAGGGCGACCGGCCACACUGGGACUGAGAAACGGCCCAGACUCCUACGGGAGGCAGCAGUGGGGAAUAUUGCAAAAUGGGCGAAAGCCUGAUGCAGCGACGCCGCGUGAGGGAUGACGGCCUUCGGGUUGUAAACCUCUUUCAGCAGGGAAGAAGCGAAAGUGACGGUACCUGCAGAAGAAGCACCGGCUAACUACGUG